This 284-nucleotide ribosomal RNA is filed under the name bacterium M00.F.Ca.ET.227.01.1.1. RNAcentral describes it as "partial 23S ribosomal RNA". It matches the Rfam family "Bacterial large subunit ribosomal RNA", at positions 2652 to 2925 of the family's 2925-position model. The record is from RNAcentral.
CUGGAUAUUUGAAGGGUGCUGCUCCUAGUACGAGAGGACCGGAGUGGACGAACCUCUGGUGUACCGGUUGUCACGCCAGUGGCAUCGCCGGGUAGCUAUGUUCGGAAGAGAUAACCGCUGAAAGCAUCUAAGCGGGAAACUCGCCUUAAGAUGAGAUAUCCCCGGGGCUUCGAGCCCCUUGAAGGGUCGUUCAAGACCAGGACGUUGAUAGGUCAGGUGUGUAAGCGCAGUAAUGCGUUCAGCUAACUGAUACUAAUUGCCCGUAAGGCUUGAUCCUAUAACAG